Molecule: long non-coding RNA, 12234 nt
Organism: Hemicordylus capensis (graceful crag lizard)
Lineage: Eukaryota; Metazoa; Chordata; Lepidosauria; Squamata; Cordylidae
Exons: 4
Source: RefSeq, a predicted model, not a curated record
UCAAUAUUGUCUUCAAGGGUGAGUCAGUACACUGACACCAUCCUGCCAAGCUACCGGUACCAGUGGGCCAGGUUACCGAGCUGCAAUCCCUUCACUCAGGCCCCUUACCAUUUCAUUCUGGGCUGCCAGCUGCUGGCACAGGGUUUAUAUGCUCCCCCCCCCGUUCAACCAUCCGGUACCUGGUCUGACAUUCUGUUUACUCUUCCGAUCCCGGGUGAGCCCCCCACUUGUCAUGACUGUGCUCCGGUGCACCUUACCCCUUGCCGUGAAGCUUCAGAGUUCAGAGGGGAGGGGUUCCCUAUCACCUGAUUCCUCCUCCUCCAGGCUUUGUGGGGUCCCAGUGGUCACUUAUUUCUCUUCUGAGGAGUCCGCCACUCUCCCUGCUAGCCUCCUCAUCCCAAGCAGUUCACAUCUUAAAUAGCUGUUGGCAUGUUGAGUAGCCCUGCACCCUCCUUUCCGGCCCCUGCCUUGCUUUAUUAACCCUUCCCCCUCUGGUUACAGGCAGCUGCCUCCACUCCCUUCAUUCCCUCCUCCCUCGCAUGGCCCCAGCCUUCUUCCUGAGGCACCUCUCUGAUGUCAUCCGGAGGCGUCUUGCCUAUGCCCUGCUCAGGCAGCUGCCUGUCAGAAGCUUCCCAUGUGCCUUAUUGAGAGUAUUAUGCUAAAUUUUGGGCAUCACAAGUUUGGGAAGGAUACCCGUAAAAGGUAGUUAGGUCACAUGUCAAAAGACUGAGAAAAUGGGGACUACUUAGUCUGGAAAAAUCAGGAUUAAGGGUGGAAAGCUUGACAGUCUUCAAAUACUGGAGAAGAUGCUGGAAGGAGCAAGUGUUCAGCAUACCUCGUGAGAAUAAGGGUGCCGGCUGGGUGACAUCUUGCUGUUUGCUUUCCCCCUUGUGUCUCUCUGAAGAAGGCGACAUGGGGGCAGCAGGGACCCAUCUUCACUUUUUGUCCCAGGGCCCACUCAGAACUUGCAAUGCCCCUGCUAACUUCUGAAAAUGUAAUGGGCACACUCUAGCUAAGUUUCAGUGGAAUAGGAUUCUGAUAUCUAAAGAAUGUUGAAGAUUUAGGCAUUUACUCCUUAAAAUCCUGGCAUUGUGAAAACAGUUCUGGGUCUUAGUGGGUGGAGAGGAUGACUCAUUGAAACUAGAAUAACUCAGAUAUAAAAGAGAGGAGGGACAACUGAGAAUAUGUAAGAGAUCAGUUUUAAAAAGAUAGGUGAAGGGAGUAUUCCGUUAAACAAAAUCCCUACCCAAAAUGUAUUGAACAGAUCAGUAAAUGGAAAAGAACCAAAAUGUUGAAAGCCCAGAUUAACAGACAGGAAAUGUGAAAAAAAAUAGGUGGUGGUGGUGGGGAACUCCAGAAAGAGCUCUUAAAUGUCUUAAUUAUCAACAUAAAGUUGCUCAGAUGGCUUUUAAAUUAAAUAAAGAGAAUAAAUCUUAGUAACAGUUUUGAGAAGAAUACCUGGCUCUGCCAUAGAAUGAGUAACCUAUUUAUUUAGCACAACCAGCGAUCAUUUUAUUCACAGGAGAAAGAAGAAAAAGGAAGAUUCUGGAGGGGAAAGUUGGGGUUCUAAACUUUUUUAAAAGGCUGUUUGCAAUGAUUGUCCUCUGAUAUUUUAAGGAGGCAAUAACAAAAAUUGGAAAAUUGUGAUAGGAAAAUUGAGCAAACCGUGUAUUAGAACAUUUCAGUUAAUAGCCAAGAGUUUCACAGUGAUAGUGGCUGGGUGUAUCUUAGCAAGUGUCUUGCAUGACCAGGUACUUAAGCUGUGCGAGGAGAGAAUAAUGAAGAACACAGACCAUAUUGUAUCAUAGCAGACAAUAAAACCGAACCUUAAGAAAUCAUCCUUCGGUGCCAGGAGCUUGGAACGCAGUGAAUAGGAGAGAUUGUAUAAGAGGACAGAUUUGUAUAAUUUCACAAAAACUAUGCAUCUAAGCAUUUGAAUGUAUCAAUGUGACUGAACUGUGGUUAACCUUCUUUGGAUGUUGUUGGAGAGGACUGAAGAUGUGGGCAGUUAUGCAGAGACAGGUACAUCUGUAUGAAGAUUAGAAAUGGAGAUGAAAUCACGAUUAGGUUAACAGCAGAGCCCCACAUAAUAUCAGAUCACCUAAUGUCAUAAGGAGACAGUAGAGAAUGAGGAGAACACUGCAAGAACCAAGAGGUCAAAGGGGGAAGCAUAUAACCACUGGGGUUAUCAAAGAUCAUCAUUAGAGCUGUGCAGGAUUGCAGUCCGUGGCUGGCAUUCCCAAUUACGAAGUGCCAGUGCUGCUGCAUUUUACUAAUGCAGUGCUGGUAAAUGUAUGGGACGGGUGAUUUUUGACUGCCUCCUCUUCCCCCAGAAACAUUCUGUUCUACAUGAAAAUAUGCGCAGCCCUUAUUCUCAAUACAAGUAGUGCACAACCUGCGACCUCACAGGAGUGAGUGGUAGCAAAACAGCCCUCUUGCACAGCUCCAUAUGCAUGUCUGUUACAGUCUCACUGUGGCGCAAGUGGUUCUAAAUGAUAUGCAUGAUGCUGAAGGGCAUGCCAGCCAUUAUGUGGAUCAUUGCUGGUUGGUUUUUAUGGUUUCAAUAGGGUAUUGAAAAAUGCCUUGUGAUUUUGUUUUGUGACAUUAAUUGUAACUGCUAAGAGGACCGAGAUACACAUUUUAAAAACAAAGACGAACAAUGGCUGACAUCCUGAUUGAUGGAAUGCUGGUGCCGCGAACAUACAGCAUGCACUAUGGGGGAGGGGUGGUAUUUGUCAGUCUCCAGAAUCACAAGCUGGCUGAAUUCAAUGCACAGGAGAGUGUGGGCAUGCAUGAUUCCCUGCCACUCAGCACACCACCACCUGAUUGUGGGGUGGUGAUGGUUCAUCCAAACUGUCCCAAAGUGCAAUUUUAAAACUGCACAGUAAGGGGCAGUUCAGAGAGCCACUCCCUCACACACAAUUAGGUGAGUGCCUGCAUGCUGUGUGGGGAAGACCCACUCUCCUCCCCCAUGCAAUCAACUGGGCCAUUUGGAGUAUCAUCCAAAUAAGUCCUAUGGCUCCAGGAAAGCUUAAAACAUGUACAUGGGGAUAACAUCCAUGGAGAGUUCUCUCAGGAGGGAACAAUGACUUUUUGAGGUCCUUAUUGUUUGAAUUUGACCCUUUAAGCAAUUUUCCCAAAGCAAGAAGGAGCCUGGAUUUUUGUAGUCUGUUUGUAACAGUUCAGUGGUCACUCUUGCUUCACAUACUUGCAGCUUAGACAAACAGUUACCAUCUCUUGACUAACAGUGAAAUUAUCGUAAUACUAAGUUUUGUGACAGGCAUAUUUAUGGCAUACAAAUAUAUCCUUUCUGAUCUAAUAUUUAGAAAGCAUGAAAAUUACACUAUACAUGCACUUGCAUUAUCUUUCAAUAUGUCUAAUAUGUGUGGAUUCUGCUCUGCAAUUGAAUAGGGAUAUAUAGUUCAUUAUUAGGUAUUAUAGCUUAUUAGUUAUUCAGUACAGAGUUAUCCAUUUUCUUGAAGUUUUAACAGACUUCACUUUGGUUAAUGUGCUUAGUGCCCCAGAUGCUUGUCUUCUUUGCCACUGAAUUAAAUGUUAUGUCAAAAUCAGUGCAAAAUAUUUUGUUGCCCUCCUUCUCCUCCUUUUCAACAAAAACAAUUCACAAAGCAGUUUACAAAGCAAAAAGAAUGAGAAAAUGGAAUAAGAAAAUGGUUCUCUGUCCCAAGGAGCUUACAAUCUGAAAAGAAAUACAAGAAACAACAGCAAUAGACACUGGGAGGGGAAUCUGUGCUGAGUUGAAUCAGGACUGUUGCUCUCUCCUUGCAAAAUACAGUUAUUUAGCUUUGGACUAUUAUGUAAGAAUGGUUUAUUUUACUGGUAAGAUUGCAGGCUGGCACAUAACUGUUAUGCCAAUAUUCGUCUUUGAAUUAUGUUGUUAGGUGGUUGUUGUUUUGGAGGGAUUUUUGGACUAAUGUUUUUAGAUGAAAAUCUUAUGUAAUUUCUUUACGGAUUUCAUCUCAGUCUGAUGAAUAUAUAGAAUUGUCAUCCAUAAUGCUUGCCCCAAAUUAUUGGUAUUUCCUUUUCUCUAGUUUUAGGUUUUCCAGAGAAUUUCUUGCUUACUCUUUUGCUUGGCAAGGGAAAAAUAAAUUGUUUAGGGAAUCUCAGACUAUUUGGCAAGAUUCUGGACUAUGUUAUUUUCCCAUUUAUUUCUUGGUCUAUAAACUCUCUUAAUAUAUGUCCACGAAUAAUGAAGGGUUUAAAAAAAAAAAAUCAGAAGGUGUCAUUACUGAAAGUUGUUGAAAAGGACAGAUACUCAGAAAUAUGAAUGGCACCAGUGAAAACAAAUAGUAUGUGUGGUCCAGGAAUGACACAAAUGAAAGUAUAUCCAUCUUUAAAACGGCUUAAGUUUGGAAGGGAAAUGUACUACCAGGUUUUAAGAAAUAAAUAUUUUGUACUUAUUGCUAAAAAAAAAAUUGGUUGCUUUGAAAUUUCUCAGAGUUUUUAUGAAAGUUGAGAAUGAUCUAACCAUAAUUGCUCAUGAUAUACACAUUCAAUUUUUAUGGCCUGCUGUCAUCAUCUCAAGUAAAAAUGUUUUUUUCUUUCUGUCUUCAUUUUCCUGACUGAAUCCUUUUCCUGAUCAAGUCUAAUCUGAACUGAGCCUCCCCAAAAAUCUGGUUUCCAGCUUUAUAUGUUUAAAAUAAAUGACUGAGUGGUUAUAAGAGAUGUCCCCAGAAAAAUUAGCUAAUGGCAGCUCACAGGAGGGUACAGAAUAUCAUUUGGUAAUUGCAGCUUCAGUCUGGAGCAGGGAUGGUCAGUUUCUUUACUCUCAGGGACCAUUCUGUGCUCUGGACAAUGUUUUGAGGACCAGAAGUAUACACUAGCACAACAACUGCCUAUCUCGCAGAAGUUGAGGCUCCACAAAUGUGUGGCCAUCUAGUAGUAAGAGUUUCACUAUUAUUAUGCAACAAUUGUCCUUGGGCAUAGUUGAGACAUGACACAACAUCCAAAGAGAGAUGUAACAGAGAAGUAUAGACUAUCUCUAUCUUUUACAGUUUGACAAUGGCCCAGUUCAGAUGGAAUGCAGAACCGUGGGUCCAAUAGGCCUAUGGUUCCGUGCCCCCUCCCACCCUCUCCUGUCCACGUUCGGGUGAGAGAGAGAGCUGCUUCUCUUCAGUCAGCAAAACUGCAGAGAGGUGGGGGAGCUGGCUGUGCGGGCUUCCUUCUUGACAAGAGGACAGUCCUCACAGCCAAUUGGACCAAGUGAGGGAUGAGCUUUUCCCCCCAACUCUGGUUCUGUGGGGCCCAAACUGCGGUGCUAGGAUUCAGCUGUAAUGAUGGCACCGCAAAACCAGAGCUAAGGGCAGUGAAAUUCCUCAGACUGAAGGUUCAGAGUGGAGUUUGGCAAGGGUCCCUUUUCACCCUUAACUCCUGUUUGCCCAAUUUGGAUUUUGGAAACCGGCUUUGGAAACUGGAGGUGAAGAGACCUCCAGUUUCCCGUUUCAUCUGAAUUUGGAUAUUGUUUUUCCUUUUUCCAUUUGAACAACACUACUCAAACCAAAUGUUUCCAGGUGCCUUGAAUAACAUUCGAUAGGGUCACCAAAGGGCAGAGAGCCAGAAAUGGCCCAGGGCCUGCCAGCUGGCCAUCCUUGCUCUGGAUUAACAUAGGGAUAUAUAGUUAUUUCACAGCAGAUCUUGCAAAAAUACCUGUACUGUAGAGCUAGCUUGAGUCAUCUGAGAAGAUGCAGAGCAGCACCUUCCCUACCUUAGUUGAGCUCACCCUCUGUCUCUCCUUGCCCUCCCAGUUACAUCUUGUUGGCCUCCUAUUUCUCUCCAAAGGUGGCAACUGGAGAAACCACCAUGAAGUUUAUGAUGGACAUGCAUAUUUUGCAAAGUUAGUCCUAGAGAAAGUAUGCAGUGCUUGAAUGCAGAAUAUCAGUGUCCAGCUCCAUCCUAGAGAUGCUUUUCAUUUGCUAUAACUGUAGCAGGAGACUGGGUUUUAACAGUUGCUUUUGCAUUUGUGUGUCUGUGUGUCUGUGUGUCUGUGCACCUGCCUACCCAGCCUUGUUACCUACCCAGCCUUUGGAACAGGAUAUGUAGAAAUGGAAUACCCAUAUAAAUAUGCAAAGUUGUUGCAGGAUCUAAAUAUAUUUCUUUGGGAUUUCUCAUUGUGCUGUGCUGGCUUUUCCUUCCUUUAUUGCAGGAAUUACUGACAGGUUAUAGAGUAAUGUGCCAACACUGAAAAUUUAUUCCAUAUUCCACUCAUGAUGAAUCUAUUAGCCUUAAAAUUCUACUUCACAAAAAUUUAUGCUUUUUCAAGAUCAAUGUCCUUUGAGAAAUCACAGAGACUUCAGUAUUUGACCAUUGACCACUUUGGGGAAAAAAAGAUGAAAUCAUUUUAAAAACAUCACUGGCCGACAGGCUGACUUACAAAGUGUACAAAGGAAGCACACGUGCAUUUGCUAUGUUCCAGAAUAAGGCAGUGUGGGAUGGGAUGGAGAUGUUUGUCGAUCUCCCUUUCCCUCCCUGAUGCACUCUGUGACCCCUGAAAAUACAUCCUUGCGUAUCACUCAGCAAUCAAGGGCAUAUUUUGGGGGGUCAUAAAGCACUUCAGAGGAAAGGGGAGAUCGGGGAAAGUUGCCUCCCCUUGUGACUACCUAUGCUGCUUUACUCUGGAACAUAGCAAAUGCAUGCGUGCUUUGUAAUUCAGGACGUUGACCAAUUUUUUUUAAUUGCUUGGGCCAAAUUCAGAAGAAACAGAAAAUUAAGCCCUUAACAUUGAAUUAGGUUAUUCAUUUAUGAGGUUUUGGUUGUUCUGCCUUGCUAAAUUGGAGUAUUUUUAAGAAAGACCAGCAGAACAUGCACUUCUAUAAUGAAACAUCAUUUGCUUUGGGUUGGAGAAGCUGUCCUACACAAUAAAACAUGAAAUGUUGUAUGUCCAAUAGUUUGAGGCACAGCUGUUGUAACCUGUUAGUCUUGAGGAGUUCAGCUCUGAUGGGACUCCAGGGGGCUUAGGUGGUCUACGAGCCAAAUGGCUAAGUUCAAGAAACAUAAAUCUCCCUCUUCUUUUCCAGAUGGGUUUGAAACUAUUGGGGUGGAGCAGCUUUAGAAUCUGCCUACUAAGUCUGGAACUGGCUGUAUAUAUUAGUUGCACAGUCUGGAAAGCAUGAGAGGGGGAGAAUUCCAAAAGCAUUGUGCUGAGACUGCAUUCCAAAUGGCGUAUAGCGGAUGAUUAAAACAUAUUUGUUCAAUAUAAAAACAAUUUGCACGCAAACACAAUGCAACGCAAUUGCCAAAGUGCUGCGCCAGUACAAGAAUGCUGAGCCAAGGGCCCCUACUCAGAAGAAAUCUGCAGUGUGUACGCUACUGCUUGGAGGUUACUUACUUACUUACUUAUUUGUUUGUUUGUUUGUUUAUUUAAAAUGUAUAUUCUGUUUUUUUCACAAAUUAUGAUGCAAGGUAGCUUAUAACAAAAACCGCUAAGCAUACCUACUGACAUUUUAGUGAUACAAUAAAAAUAGGUAGCAGUCAAAACCCCAGACUACAUGGGAGGAUCCUGUACUGGGGCUCCUCCCCAAACAAGCAUCAACUCAGUUUCCAGGAGGAGUGAUGCUAGCAUGACAAGGGGUCACAGCAUGAGCUUUGGUCCUACGGUUUCUGCUGUUUCCUUUGUCUCAAGUGAAAGAAACAUACAUGUACUGAGAAUUGAGGCCCUGUGAAAUAAUAUAAUUGAGGAUGUCUCUGUUACCAGAUGCUGUGAAUUUUCAUUAAAAGUGACAGCAUCUUUCACUGACUUGAAAAUCCCAUAGAGGGAAACUAUAGAUUUCCCCCUCAGACUUAUGGUUUCCCCCCACCCGCAAAACAUAGUUUCCCAAAAGAGAGGAACUGUAGAUUUCUCACCUAAUUGAUGUUCAAAAUAAAACGAAUCCAACAAAUACAUUAUAGAAUAUGCAUGACUCAUAGUUCACCAAGUUGGAUGCAGGCCACCAACCACAUAUUGUAGUUUGCAACAUGCUUGCUGGUUCCCAUUAGUGUCAUCUGCCACUCCUGAAUUGAAGGCAGAUAGCAUAAACAGGAGCUUUAUCAAGGUCAUAGUGACCUGCCAAACAUGACUGGUGGGCAACAUUCAACUUGGUGGGUCAAAGGCUGUGCAAGCCAAUUUCAUUAUGUGUUAAUCUUUUUUCUAAAUGUAUGACCCCACCCUCAAAGCCACAUGCUUCAUAGCUACAUACUGUAAGGCUGAGUUGCAAAGAGAAAUAUUACCUACCUACCUGUUUGCAAGUUUUAUUCUAGGUAUUUAUUUGCAAUGUGCCAAGCAGGGGCGUAGCUAGGGGAGAGGGGGCCCGUGUUCAUCCCUCUCUCGGGCGGCCCCCCCAGAGUGAGGGAGACAAUGAAGAAAAUAGGUAGGGGUGGAGCUGGAGGGCCCUCAGGAGCUGGGGGCCUGUGUUCUUGGAACCCUUUCGCUCAAUUAUAGCUACGCACCUGGUGCCAAGGGUUCUUUCCUCAUUGGCUACAGGCUUAUGUGCAACCCAGCUCCAGGAUCCCAAAUAACAGUUUUGAAUUGAGUUUGAAAUAAUAUUCUAUGAUGAUGCAAGUUAUUAAUGAGGCUCUUAAAUGGCAAUUAGCAACGAACCCUUUGUAUGUCUAUUAAACUAUCUUGAUCCCGAGUGAGAUAUUUUCAAAUGAAGAAACUAAUAUUCCACAUGCUAAAAAUCACAAGAAUAGUUUAUGCGAAGAAGUGGAAAGCGGAAAAGAAAACCACAGAGUGAAUAUUUGAGGAGGUUUGGGGAAAUUACCUCUUCAGUUAAAAUGACAAUCUACUUAAAGCCAAGGGGAAAUUACAGUGAUAUCUCUGAAAGAUGGAAAAUGGUGGUAGAUUACCUAAGGUAUACUUUAAAAAUUAAAAAGUCAGGGUAUGAAAUGCUGAGUUUAGUUUUAUUAACGGUUUAGGAAAAGGUUUAGGUUUUAUUUUCCUAAAAUAAAUGUAACAGCGAUGUGCAGUAAUGUGCAUGUCUUAGAGAUAUGGAUUAAUUUUUAUAGAAGUAGGAACAAAGUAGAAUCUGCCUGACAUCCACACUAAGUUACUCAAGAAACUAAGUUACUCAGUAGUAACUCUAAAAAGCAGGUCUCUUUCUUCUUUUGCCCUUCCCAGCUGUCAAUGGGAGCCUCCCCUAGAGGUUCCAUGAUUAUACAGGGGCCUCUGGAGAACUCGCCAAUUUGUAGAUGAGGGUGUUGGGCACAGCAGCAGUGUGAGUCUCUUGGGUGACUCAUACCACCACUGCCACUGGUACAGGAAUGGGGUUACAGGGAUUGACCUAGCUGGUUGGAUCCUCUAAUGUGCACCAGCAUCAGUUGCUGCUGGACUUGAAUGACCCCCAGUGCCACUCGUGUCUUUGGUGUUAGAUAUGGGAAUUUAGUCUUAUAUAGCAUUCUCCUGCCACAGAGCGGGGGUAAAAAGAAUCCAGAAGAUUGAUUUUCCUGCUGGACAUGUUGUGCAACCUCCUUACUUCUGAUCUCAGUGGAUUUUAUAGUAGGACAGUAUCUUUAGACAGGAAAACACAAGUACUGUAUGUCAAUGGGAGUAUUAGUUAUUUUCAUAAUGUAGUGAUUAUGACUUCUCCCUGAAAGUUUGUGUGCGUUGCCAAUGACCUCUUGUACUUUGGAACCAAGUUCAAGAAAAUCUGGACAUUCUAAUAAAGGCAAGCUGAUGAAUGCUGAAUUUCUCAUAGGACUGCUUUAGGAAAUUUGUUAUAGCCUCCGCAAUUUGGUCAUCAUAAAAUACAGAAGGUAAGCAGACAAAAUGGAUCCAACAAUAUGCUUGAGAUGUAUAUGAUGUAGGCAUGCUUCUGCUUAAACAGCUAUGGCCAUUUGUAGCAUGCAUCUAAAUUCCUAUCCAGUCACUGACAGGAAGGCUGAAUUUUCUCUAGGUUUUUAAAAAUGAUAAAAAGUAUGUUGGAAAGUUCCAGUAGCUUGUAUAAGAAUGGGGCCUAGGAGAUAGGAAAAUGGGGAGAAUGCAGGCAAUAGCUGAAGGCUCAGGAACAUAAAGUGGCCAUACCACCAUCAUUAGAGUCUCAGAAUUAAAAGGGCAUAAGGUCUAUCACACCUUCACUUCCAUGUCCAAGUAAUGCUGAUCAAAUUUCCCUUUUGUAAAUUAAAUAUAUCAUUUUAAUAGUAUUUAAUGUGAGAUUAUAUCCUCAGUUCUAGACUCCUGUUUCAAAUUAGAAAUAAAAUUUUGGCUUGUUCAGAGUUUGAGUUUAGUCAUAGCUUCAGCUAUUCCUGCUCUGCUUUAUUGGUACUGAAAAAUUUAUAAUAUAUUUGGGAUUCAGUUAUAUACUUACCCUGGGAAUUUUUAUGGGAUUGGAGCUGAAAACCUCUAAGAUGUCAAUGAAGAGUGUGAUUGCAGUAGGCAAAGUUUCCCUACUACAUUUAUAUGAUAAAUUAUAUUUUGCUUUUCUGGAAUUCUAACCAAAAAGUAAUUUUUCUGAUGCAUGUGAGCCAUAAAAUAUAUGAAAAGUGGGGGAUGUUAUCGCUUUUUCAAAAACCAAUUGCAAAAUAAGCGCUAAUACAUCCAAGCCAACUUUAAUAUCUCAGGAGCCAAUCAAUUUGUAACUGAAAUUGCAGCCCACUGUGGGAAUUUAGUGUGUGUGAGAGACAUACAGUUAUGGAACAUAAUAAAUUACAGUAUCCAAGAAAUAUUACAGACUUUGGCUUACAUGCAACGUACAAGUCCAGCAAUGACCUGAAGUACUUCUCCUUCCUCGGCUAGCUGACAGAAGCCAAUGCCUAAAUACAUUACAGCCUUACCUGCUUAAUCUGAGCUGUUUGUCAGUAUUAUGGGCAUUUACCCUACUUGUGUAUUUAUUUAUGUAUUGCAUUUAUAUCCCACCCUUUCUCCAAGGAGCUCAGGGUGGCACACACCUCAAUAACCUUGUGAGGUGGGUUGGCUGAGAGUGACUGGUCCAGGGUAACCCAUCCAAUUUCAUGAUUGAAUAAGUAUCUGAGUCUGGGUUUGUCCAGCCCUCAAAAUAUUACAGUAUGCUGGCUCAAGUAAUCAAAACUGAAGUCAUCAAAAGGCCAACUCCAGGAGGUGGCAAUGUUGGGUAGAACCCCCAAGGCUUGCUGUGCUGUGGCAGCUGUUGCAAGUGAGGACAGAGUCAUAACUGUGUGUGAGAGAGCAAAUUGUCCCUAUGAUUUUACUGAAGUGUAAAAUCUGGUUUGAAGCUGGUUCAGACUUGAACCAAACUAGGCCAGCUGGUUUUGUGAACACCCCUCGUGGCUAUAGGCCACCUCCAGCCUCAGAGGCAGGAUGCUUCUAAAUACCAGUUGCAGGGGAGCAACAGCAAGAGAGAGGGCAUGCGCUCGCCUCCUGCUUGUGGGCUUCCCAGAGGUAUCUGGUGGGCCACUGUGUGAAACAGGAUUCUGGGCUAGAUAGGCCUUGGGCCUGAUCCAGCAGGACUGUUCUUAUAUUCUUAUGUUCUUACUGCUCUCUCAGGUCCCUGACUGCAGGGAUGGAGCAGUAGCUCUGUAGGAGCACUGUUACAGCCCAGCCAGAUGAGGUGGCAGUGGUAGCAAUCAAUCAAGCAAACAAACAAACAAACAGGUAUAAUAUAGCAAUAUAUAGCAAUCAACAUUUCCAGGUGCUAGAAAACGUAUUAAUGGAGCCAAGUUUUCAACUGCACAGAGAUCUCCAAUGAAGACAGACCCAUACGAAACAAAAUGAAGCAAAACCCCCAGCUGAUUGGAAAUGAAAACAUUGUGUUUUUUCUCAGCUGUAUUAGGAGAGAUGGCUCAGAAUGGACUGGAAAAUCAGAAACAGGAGACUGCACCUAAGAGGAGGGUAGCAAGGGCCUUUGUAGAAUUCGGAACUGUAAGAAAUCCUUGUCAUGCACUCAGGCAACUUCUUGUGUCUUCCUACUAACUGAUAAAACAGGCUGAUGGAUAGGAUAUCGUAUAAUCCUAUCUCUCUGUUUCCAUUGCUCAGUGCCUGGAGAAAAAAAGAUAAAUUUCAAGGAUAUUAGGGAUGUGCACAAAACCGGCUGGCCUGGUUGAGUUUGAGUCUGAGCUGGACCUGAACAGGACUGGGUCAGUUCGGUUUUGCCCCCCACUGAACCCCUGUGGGUUGGGUUUGGUUCAAGGGAUUCAUGAGUCAAGUUAAAGACAAUUUUUUUUAGUACUUACCCCUUCCAGGGGGCUUCUCUGAGGCCAUGGGGGUUGUCCGCAGAGGUUCCCCCUCCUUCUCCCAGCCUUCCUUGUGGUAAAAAUCACCAGGUUUGGGUG